RNAcentral lists this ribosomal RNA (1486 nucleotides) under Bacillus nakamurai. RNAcentral describes it as "bacterial SSU rRNA". It matches the Rfam family "Bacterial small subunit ribosomal RNA". The record is from RNAcentral. Lineage: Bacteria; Bacillati; Bacillota; Bacilli; Caryophanales; Bacillaceae.
UUUGAUCCUGGCUCAGGACGAACGCUGGCGGCGUGCCUAAUACAUGCAAGUCGAGCGGACAGAUGGGAGCUUGCUCCCUGAUGUCAGCGGCGGACGGGUGAGUAACACGUGGGUAACCUGCCUGUAAGACUGGGAUAACUCCGGGAAACCGGGGCUAAUACCGGAUGCUUGUUUGAACCGCAUGGUUCAAACAUAAAAGGUGGCUUCGGCUACCACUUACAGAUGGACCCGCGGCGCAUUAGCUAGUUGGUGAGGUAACGGCUCACCAAGGCAACGAUGCGUAGCCCACCUGAGAGGGUGAUCGGCCACACUGGGACUGAGACACGGCCCAGACUCCUACGGGAGGCAGCAGUAGGGAAUCUUCCGCAAUGGACGAAAGUCUGACGGAGCAACGCCCCGUGAGUGAUGAAAGUUUUCGGAUCGUAAAGCUCUGUUGUUAGGGAAAAACAAGUGCCCUUCGAAUAGGGCGGCACCUUGACGGUACCUAACCAGAAAGCCACGGCUAACUACGUGCCAGCAGCCCCGGUAAUACGUAGGUGGCAAGCGUUGUCCGGAAUUAUUGGGCGUAAAGGGCUCGCAGGCGGUUUCUUAAGUCUGAUGUGAAAGCCCCCGGCUCAACCGGGGAGGGUCAUUGGAAACUGGGGAACUUGAGUGCAGAAAAGGAGAGUGGAAUUCCACGUGUAGCGGUGAAAUGCGUAGAGAUGUGGAGGAACACCAGUGGCGAAAGCGACUCUCUGGUCUGUAACUGACGCUGAGGAGCGAAAGCGUGGGGAGCGAACAGGAUUAGAUACCCUGGUAGUCCACGCCCUAAACGAUGAGUGCUAAGUGUUAGGGGGUUUCCGCCCCUUAGUGCUGCAGCUAACGCAUUAAGCACUCCGCCUGGGGAGUACGGUCGCAAGACUGAAACUCAAAGGAAUUGACGGGGGCCCGCACAAGCGGUGGAGCAUGUGGUUUAAUUCGAAACAACGCGAAAAACCUUACCAGGUCUUGACAUCCUCUGACAAUCCUAGAGAUAGGACGUCCCCUUCGGGGGCAGAGUGACAGGUGGUGCAUGGUUGUCGUCAGCUCGUGUCGUGAGAUGUUGGGUUAAGUCCCGCAACGAGCGCAACCCUUGAUCUUAGUUGCCAGCAUUCAGUUGGGCACUCUAAGGUGACUGCCCGUGACAAACCGGAGGAAAGUGGGGAUGACGUCAAAUCAUCAUGCCCCUUAUGACCUGGGCUACACACGUGCUACAAUGGACAGAACAAAGGGCAGCGAAACCGCGAGGUUAAGCCAAUCCCACAAAUCUGUUCUCAGUUCGGAUCGCAGUCUGCAACUCGACUGCGUGAAACUGGAAUCGCUAGUAAUCGCGGAUCAGCAUGCCCCGGUGAAUACGUUCCCGGGCCUUGUACACACCGCCCGUCACACCACGAGAGUUUGUAACACCCGAAAUCGGUGAGGUAACCUUUAUGGAGCCAGCCCCCGAAGGUGGGACAGAUGAUUGGGG